GUAGGGUGCAAGCGUUGUCCGGAAUUAUUGGGCGUAAAGAGCUCGUAGGCGGUUUGUUGCGUCGGCUGUGAAAUCCCGAGGCUCAACCUCGGGUCUGCAGUCGAUACGAGCAAACUAGAGUGUUGCAGGGGAGACUGGAAUUCCUGGUGUAGCGGUGAAAUGCGCAGAUAUCAGGAGGAACACCGGUGGCGAAGGCGGGUCUCUGGGCAACAACUGACGCUGAGGAGCGAAAGCGUGGGGAGCGAACAGGAUUAGAUACCCUGGUAGUCCACGCCGUAAACGUUGGGCGCUAGGUGUGGGGCUCAUUCCACGAGUUCCGUGCCGCAGCUAACGCAUUAAGCGCCCCGCCUGGGGAGUACGGCCGCAAGGSUA
RNAcentral lists this ribosomal RNA (372 nucleotides) under uncultured bacterium. RNAcentral describes it as "bacterial SSU rRNA". It matches the Rfam family "Bacterial small subunit ribosomal RNA", at positions 527 to 896 of the family's 1533-position model. The record is from RNAcentral.